Triticum aestivum (bread wheat) is the source of this 1035-nucleotide long non-coding RNA. RefSeq lists it as uncharacterized. NCBI's taxonomy places the organism in Eukaryota, Viridiplantae, Streptophyta, Magnoliopsida, Poales, Poaceae. The transcript is spliced from 3 exons. The record is from RefSeq and is a predicted model, not a curated record.
CCGGCGAUACCACCUGCUUCCACCGAUCCCUGACGACCUAGCCGCGUCGGUGAGGGACGCACUCCAUCUGACUUACCAGCGCAGCUGUGAGGUCAUCCUCGUUCCUCCCGGCAAGGAAGUGGACAAGGAAGAGUACGAAACUUCAUUUCGUGUAAUCUGGAUGGCACAGUGCAAGACCAAGGUGGUGGCAUUUUUCUAUUCUUCAACCACGGGGCAGUGGCAAUCCAUUGCAUCAAAGGCUUGGAGCGAUUUGUUAGUCUGCGGCAUGCCAAUUGUAUCUUUGAAAUACCGUUUGUUCUACCGUAGUCAUUAUGCCUACGGAUGUUUGUACUGGCCGAUGACGAAUGGGAUAGAAUUUGGGCUGAAGAAUCGUCCGGGGGAAGCUAUGCUCAUGCUUGACACCAUGACAAUGGAGUUCUCCGUUGCUGAUUAUCCACCUGGAAGAUGGAGAGGGUUCCAGGUUGGUAUCGUGGAGGCAGGGGAAGGCAGGCUUGGAUUGCUCACUUUCUCAAUUAAUGAUGCAGCAUCACAACUUCGUUAUAUGGUUAGGCAAAACACAGAUGGGAGUAACAAUGAGUGGCAGUUGGAGAAGAUAAUCCCCUUGGGUUCGGGCAAUCAUUCUAUUGUUGCUUCAACCGAGAGGUACUUGCUCCUCCUAAGGUUAGAUUUUGGGACAGACCACUCUGAAGGUCUCUCAUUAGAUGUCAAGACAUUUCAGCUUGAGAGGGUGUGUGAGCUAUCUGACGUUACAAGCAGGUCAAUAUAUACCAGCUUCCCUCCAUCACUGUCAUCCAGGACAGUAUGAAGUGAAUGAUGCUGCAUAUUUGAACAAGUAUUCUGUCUACAUGCUGAAGAAUGCUAUUGCUUAUAUAAUUACCCUGUGAUGAAAGGGCUUCAGAUGGCUGUCAUGGCAAUUGCAUCCUCAAGGACGAGUGCCGACAUGGUGCUGCAUACUUUUGCUGCAGAAGAAGUGGUUUUCUUGUUCCCCGGUUGGAGUUCUGUACAAGUUCUUUUAUAUCACAAUUGCCUAUCAUU